AAUAAGUGUAGCCAUGAGUUUCCGCGUCCAACUUCGAUCGUCCGUCUUAUUUGAAUUUUUUUUAUAAUAAGAUGAUAAAACAUGAAUAAUACUUUACUCGUGACUUAUGUUUUUAAUUUUUUUCAAAAAAUUUUCAAAUAAGAUGAAUGAUUAAAGUUUGGCGUGAAAAACUAUGACUGCACUUAUU
This is a non-coding RNA of Oryza nivara, 187 nucleotides long. The record is from Rfam. NCBI's taxonomy places the organism in Eukaryota, Viridiplantae, Streptophyta, Magnoliopsida, Poales, Poaceae.